Molecule: ribosomal RNA, 253 nt
Filed under: uncultured bacterium
Lineage: Bacteria
Description: partial 16S ribosomal RNA
Rfam family: Bacterial small subunit ribosomal RNA
Source: RNAcentral
UACGGAGGGUGCAAGCGUUGUCCGGAUUUAUUGGGUUUAAAGGGUGCGUAGGUGGCUAUUUAAGUCAGUGGUGAAAGUCUGCAGCUUAACUGUAGAACUGCCAUUGAUACUGAAUAGCUUGAGUAUUGAUGAGGUAGGCGGAAUUGAUAGUGUAGCGGUGAAAUGCAUAGAUAUUAUCAAGAACACCGAUUGCGAAGGCAGCUUACUAAGGAAUAACUGACACUGAGGCACGAAAGCGUGGGGAUCAAACAGG